Molecule: unclassified non-coding RNA, 373 nt
Filed under: soil metagenome
Description: partial contains 5.8S ribosomal RNA, internal transcribed spacer 2, and large subunit ribosomal RNA
Rfam family: 5.8S ribosomal RNA (bases 1-120)
Source: RNAcentral
GAUGAAGAACGUAGUGAAAUGCGAUAAGUAAUGUGAAUUGCAGAAUUCAGUGAAUCAUCGAAUCUUUGAACGCACAUUGCGCCCGCCAGUAUUCUGGCGGGCAUGCCUGUUCGAGCGUCAUUACAACCCUCAAGCCCCCCGGCUUGGUGUUGGGGACCGGCCACCGGUGCCCUGCUGCUUCCGCGGCAGGCGCACCCGGCCGCCCCCGAAAUGAAUUGGCGGCCCCGUCGCGGCCUCCCUAUGCGUAGUAGCACACAUCUCGCAGCUGGAGCGCGGCGCGGCCACUGCCGUAAAACGCACCCACUUUUUUUACAGUUGACCUCGAAUCAGGUAGGAAUACCCGCUGAACUUAAGCAUAUCAAUAAGCGGAGGA